GACGAACGCUGGCGGCGUGCUUAACACAUGCAAGUCGAACGGAAAGGCCCUGCUCUUGUGGGGCUCUCGUUUGGCGAACGGGUGAGUAACACGUGUGUAACCUGCCCUUGACUUUGGGAGAUCUCCAGGAAACUGGGGCGAAUACCGGAUAGGAGCUUCUGCUGCAUGGUGUGGGUUGGAGAGUGUCGGCGGUGGGGGAUGGACUCGCGGCUUAUCAGCCUGUUGGUGGGGUAGUGGCUUACCAAGCGUUUGACGGGUAGGCGGCCUGAGAGGGGGACCGGCCACAUUGGGACUAAGAUAGGGCCCAGACGCGUACGGGCGGCAGCAGGGGGGAGUAUUACACAGUGGGGGGACGCGAGAGACGAAAACCCCGGGUGCGGAAUAAUGGCCUUCGGGUUGAAAACAGAUUUGGAAUGUGACGAGCAGUGCGUGACGGUACUGGGUAAAGAAGCAACGGCUAACUACGUG
RNAcentral lists this ribosomal RNA (468 nucleotides) under uncultured bacterium. RNAcentral's name for it is "partial 16S ribosomal RNA". It matches the Rfam family "Bacterial small subunit ribosomal RNA", at positions 28 to 507 of the family's 1533-position model. The record is from RNAcentral.